This 330-nucleotide ribosomal RNA is filed under the name Macrobiotus hufelandi group sp. Its description in RNAcentral is "SSU rRNA". It matches the Rfam family "Eukaryotic small subunit ribosomal RNA", at positions 93 to 421 of the family's 1831-position model. Lineage: Eukaryota; Metazoa; Tardigrada; Eutardigrada; Parachela; Macrobiotidae. The record is from RNAcentral.
AUGGCUCAUUAAUCAGUUAUGGUUCAUUAGAUCGUAAAUUUUACACGGAUAACUGUGGUAAUUCUAGAGCUAAUACGUGCAAUUAGCUCGCUUCCUUGUGGAGCGAGCGCAGUUAUUAGAUCAAAACCAAUCCGGCCUUCGGGUCGGUACAAUUGGUGACUCUGAAUAACCGAAGCGGAGCGCAUGGUCUCGUACCGGCGCCAGAUCUUUCAAGUGUCUGACUUAUCAGCUUGUUGUUAGGUUACGUUCCUAACAAGGCUUCAACGGGUAACGGGGUAUCAGGGUCCGAUACCGGAGAGGGAGCCUGAGAAACGGCUACCACAUCCAAGA